RNAcentral lists this unclassified non-coding RNA (301 nucleotides) under Hevea brasiliensis (rubber tree). Lineage: Eukaryota; Viridiplantae; Streptophyta; Magnoliopsida; Malpighiales; Euphorbiaceae. The record is from RNAcentral.
UAGCGAAAAUGCAAAAAAACAGUUGCAGCACAAACGCGACUGCACAAACCAAAUCUUGAAAGCUGUAAUGGCAAUUAACAGCAACACCUUAGCUGAUAUGGAGGUGCCUGAAUCAUAUGUUGAGAAUCUUCCUAAGAAUGGAAAAGCUAGCUUAGGUGAUCUUAUCCACCGAUAUAUAACCUCAGAUCAAUUUUCACCUGAAUGUUUGCUCGAAUGCCUUGAUUUGUCGUCUGAGCAUCAAGCAUUAGAAAUAGCAAACCGAGUAGAGGCCUCAAUUUACGUGUGGCGCAGAAGAACUCAG